This 1416-nucleotide non-coding RNA is filed under the name Pongo abelii (Sumatran orangutan). The record is from RNAcentral. Lineage: Eukaryota; Metazoa; Chordata; Mammalia; Primates; Hominidae.
UAAGACAUGACUUGUUCUUCCUUGCCUUCCACCAUGAUUGUGAAGCUUCCCCAGCCAUGUGGAACUGGAGCUGACAUCAUCAGUGGUGGUUUGCUGUGAUUCCUUCAGCCUUCUGACCUCUGAAAGCCAGACCUUUGCUCCCACAGAUCAUCCCAUAAUUUUACGGAGUCUUGCUCUGUCACCCAUGCUGGAGUGCAGUGGUGCGAUCUCGGCUCACUGCAAACUCUGCCUCCCAGGUUCAAGUGAGUCUUCUGCCUCAGCCUCCUGAGUAGCUGGGACUACAGGCACAUGCCACCAUGCCCGGAAUUUUCUAGCAGAAUGGAAUGCCAUCUGGGGCAGCAAGCUCAGUGGGAAUGUUCCAAUCAACCCGGAUGACUGACCCCUGCCAAGAAUGGUAGAGAGAAAGAUUCUACUGGAAGUCCUGUAAUGGACCUGCAAUCCUAUCUUCCAGGUCCCUGGCUCCGGGGCCCACUGUGACACAGGAUUCAUCCUGGCAUUCAAGUGCCUACACAACCUGGUUACCUCAUUGAUUGGCUGUUGCCCCUACUCUUCCCUGAGGAGAACACUCGAUACAGGAUGACCCCCUUCUACUUCCUUCCUCAACUUCAUCUUUCAGUUUCUCCAUUGCUCAUUGUUGGCUCUUUUCUCUGCCUAAAACGCCCUAUUCCUUUCUCUGCCACUCAAAUCCUGCCCAGACUUCAAAGCUCAGAACAAAUUGCAUCCCCUCUCUAUAAUCUUCACUGAGCAGCUUCAGCAAACAUUGCUAUAUUCCUCUCCUGAAUUCUUACUAUUGCACUCAUUGGAAACUCCCAAUUCUGUUCUCCUUUUGUUUGGUUUCUGGUACCCAAGUCUUAUCAUUUCAGUAGGAUUUUAAGUUCUCAGUGGCAGGAAACAUACUUUAUAAUGAACACUUAAUAGGUGCUCAAUGAAAUUUCUUUCUUUCUUUCUCUUUUUAUUUUCUCUUUUUCUCUCCUUCUCUCUUUCUUUUUCUUUCUUUCUUUUCUUUUUUUUUUUUUUGAGACAGGGUCUUGCUCUGUCACCCAGGCUGCAGUGCAGUGGCAUGAUCUUGGCUCACUGCAACCUCUGCCUCCUGGGUUCAAAAGAUUCUCAUGCCUCAGCCUCCCAAGGACCUGGGACUACAGGCAUGUGCCACCACAUCCAGCCAAAUUUUUGUAUUUUUAGUAGGGAAGAGGUUUCACCAUGUUGGCCAGGCUGCUCAAACUCCUGACCAUAGUGAUCCUCCUGCCUCGGCCUCCCAAAGAGCUGGGAUUACAGGCAUGAGCCACCAGGCUUGGCCAUGAAAUUUUCGAUGAUUGAUAAGCCAUGUACUGACCAGGCCUAGUAGGAGAAUUUUAUCAGGCCAAGAGGUCACUUAAAGAGCAUAAUGGUGAAUAAGCAACUAGUUUAUUAAAUGAA